UACCAGCACCCCGAGUGGUCGGGACGUUUAUUGGGCCUAAAGCAUCCGUAGCCGGUUCCACAAGUCUUCCGUUAAAUCCAGCUGCUUAACAGAUGGGCUGCGGAAGAUACUAUGGAGCUAGGAGGCGGGAGAGGCAAGCGGUACUCGAUGGGUAGGGGUAAAAUCCGUUGAUCCAUUGAAGACCACCAGUGGCGAAGGCGGCUUGCCAGAACGCGCUCGACGGUGAGGGAUGAAAGCUGGGGGAGCAAACCGG
RNAcentral lists this ribosomal RNA (253 nucleotides) under uncultured bacterium. RNAcentral describes it as "partial 16S ribosomal RNA". It matches the Rfam family "Archaeal small subunit ribosomal RNA", at positions 474 to 727 of the family's 1478-position model. The record is from RNAcentral.